This is a long non-coding RNA of Amblyraja radiata (thorny skate), 331 nucleotides long. RefSeq lists it as uncharacterized. The transcript is spliced from 3 exons. The record is from RefSeq and is a predicted model, not a curated record. Lineage: Eukaryota; Metazoa; Chordata; Chondrichthyes; Rajiformes; Rajidae.
AUCGAGGAGAAGUGGCGGUUCCUAUCAGGGCAUAUUGUGCGUGUAGUGACCAGGACUAGCGCACCCAAGGAACAACACAUCAUUGACCAUGCGUUCGAUGAUCCUCUGGAAGGGACUUCCACGCCGAGCCCAUCCACCAGCCAACAGCACCGCAGUAGGCACAUUUCCAGCAUUGACCUCACCACACCCGGAGGUGCUGAAGAAGGGACAGAUGGAAACAGCAUUAAAAGUCUCAAUAAUACUGUUCGAGACGGUAUUAAAUUGUUAGAGGAAGGACGCCUGAGACCGAACAGCUUUACGCAGAGGGCAGUAGACUUCUGUCAAGCUAUUA